Molecule: ribosomal RNA, 490 nt
Filed under: uncultured bacterium
Lineage: Bacteria
Description: partial 16S ribosomal RNA
Rfam family: Bacterial small subunit ribosomal RNA
Source: RNAcentral
AUUGAACGCUGGCGGCAGGCCUAACACAUGCAAGUCGAACGGUAACAGAAAGCAGCUUGCUGCUUUGCUGACGAGUGGCGGACGGGUGAGUAAUGUCUGGGAAACUGCCUGAUGGAGGGGGAUAACUACUGGAAACGGUAGCUAAUACCGCAUAACGUCGCAAGACCAAAGAGGGGGACCUUCGGGCCUCUUGCCAUCGGAUGUGCCCAGAUGGGAUUAGCUAGUAGGUGGGGUAAAGGCUCACCUUGGCGACGAUCCCUAGCUGGUCUGAGAGGAUGACCAGCCACACUGGAACUGAGACACGGUCCAGACUCCUACGGGAGGCAGCAGUGGGGAAUAUUGCACAAUGGGCGCAAGCCUGAUGCAGCCAUGCCGCGUGUAUGAAGAAGGCCUUCGGGUUGUAAAGUACUUUCAGCGGGGAGGAAGGGAGUAAAGUUAAUACCUUUGCUCAUUGACGUUACCCGCAGAAGAAGCACCGGCUAACUCCGUG